GCUCUAGAUAUUUUCUGUCUCUCACUCUCUACCCCAACAGCUGUACGUCUUCUGUAGCACAAUCCUGAGAGUUCAAGAACGAUCCAGAGAGCCAUGGAGAGAAUUAGUGGGAGAGAGAUAGAGUGAGAGAGAGGUGAAAUUCAGGAAAGAUAAAGAAUUCAUCUCAGCACGAUGUUAGUUGCUCUUCAUCCCGCGACUGAUCGGAGAGGCAAACAGAGAAAGAAGUGGGAGAGGGAUCUGGGUUUUGACUACAGCCCCAAAUUUCUAAUCGGGUAUUGUUCAGUUUUGCUGUGAGGAGGAAGAGGACCUGCGUUUUGGAUAACUCUGCGUUUUGAGCCAAGGAAAAGAUGAUGGAUUUGGGUAUAGGGUUGUGAUCGAUACUUAGUUUUUGGGGCUAUGGUUCUUGCAUCAGUGAAAACUUGGUGAGCUUUCAACUAAGGUUUGUAAAAGUCCAAGCACUAAGAUACAGAAGACAACAGGACAAAUCAAUCUUUGUUUGUUUUGGAAAAGGAUCUGUUCUGUGUCUUGGACUGUUUGGUUUUAGUGAAAGCAGGUUUGGUCUAAGCAAAUUAUAAUUUGAAAACAGUUGGGACUUGAAAGUUGCAUAUAUUGAAGAAGUUGGGAAGACCAGGUUUUUUAAACUCCUAGAGGCAGUGGUUUGGGAGUUUAAGGAUUUUGCUAACCAACUCCAGCAUCUUCCGCAGCUGCAACUGAAACAAUCACCUUUUGAACAACCGGAGCUCUUACUAUUUUGAACAACUUCCAGCAGCAACUUUUACUAAAUUAACUUAUAACCUUUUUGUUGAGCUAGCAUUUUUGCACCAGCUCCAGUUGAAUGGACUUCAACUAAAAGGUAAAAUGUGUAAAAACUCUUCACUAUUUCAAUAAU
This is a long non-coding RNA of Rosa chinensis, 889 nucleotides long. RefSeq lists it as uncharacterized. The transcript has 6 exons. NCBI's taxonomy places the organism in Eukaryota, Viridiplantae, Streptophyta, Magnoliopsida, Rosales, Rosaceae. The record is from RefSeq and is a predicted model, not a curated record.